GUACCCACCCCUUCACGAUUACUUAGUCGGGUUAUUGAGAUCUGCCGGUUAGUGGUUCGUUUGGUUGUCGCGCAGUUGUGGAGAGCAAUCGUGUUGGUUCUUCGUAACUAUUUUCAGGCAGCUUAGUAGCAGACUGUUGUCAGAUUCAUAUCAUUCGACUUAUUUCCUUUAGCAGGUUGUCAUAUUGGUGUCUUUUAUUUAAUCCUGGUUAUCUGCAGCUAUAGGGAGUCCUAGGUGGAUUUAGAUUUGGGAUUGUGAUUUAUUGUUAUAUUUUAAGAGUUGGCACUUGAGUGCUCGAGUUUAUUUUAUAUUUCACUUAAAAUACUGGUUAUGGAAGAACUUAUUGGCAGAUGUUGUUAAUUUGUAACUAUUGGAAUUACAAAAGAGAUUCUAGUGUUUAUAUAUGUGUACAAAGAUAUUUUGAAUAAAUUGUUUGGAAAAUGAUUCUAUGAGGAAGAGGCUUGCCAGGCUAGGGUGGUAGUCUGUGCGCCGGUCACGGCUUAGGAUUUUGGGUCGUGACAAAGUUGGUAUCAGAGCUUUGGCUGUAGGUCCUAAUAGCUG
Lotus japonicus is the source of this 561-nucleotide long non-coding RNA. RefSeq lists it as uncharacterized. The record is from RefSeq and is a predicted model, not a curated record. Lineage: Eukaryota; Viridiplantae; Streptophyta; Magnoliopsida; Fabales; Fabaceae. The transcript is spliced from 3 exons.